GUCUAUGACCAUACCACCCUGAACAUGCCCAGUCUCAUCUGAUCUCCGAAGCUAAACAGGGUUGGACCUGGUUAUAGUAUCAGGUGGACGAGUCUGAGGUAGGAGGAAUACUUAAACCCAAGAGUUUGAGGCU
This 133-nucleotide ribosomal RNA is filed under the name Carlito syrichta (Philippine tarsier). The record is from RNAcentral. Lineage: Eukaryota; Metazoa; Chordata; Mammalia; Primates; Tarsiidae.